GGUGGAAGAAAAGGCCUGUUGUUCGGCAGGGGAGGUGUGCCCGUUGACACAGGGCUGGAGGAAGGAUGUGUGCUUGGAAGAUGUGCAGAAACCAUCAGGAGGGUGUGUGCAGCCCAGAGCGGGGGACCCAGCCACUGGAGGAAGGAGGCAGAGAAGGGAGAGCAAGGGAAGAUGAGGGUGGAAGAAGCAGGGCUGGAGGGACAGAGACUAAGGUAGUAAUUGGGACUACAAAAGUCACUGCUGGAUGUAAAACACCUGAAGAUAAACUUGAAGACCUCCUUUGGGCUGAGAAUUGCUUUUAAAUGUUGAUUUGGUCACCUUAGAAGAACUAGGUCUUCAGGCCCAAGUGGGCUGAACUGAAUAAAGAGCCUCUGCUCUGCCUGAUGAAAUGCUCAUGCCUCACAUUUUGGGUCUCCUUGCCUGCUACCUGCUCCUGUCACCCCUCUGCUACCAGGCUUAGCCUGAAGUGCCAAAAAAACUGACUGUAUGUGCCAAGGAGGAAUUUUCAUCUCAAAGUGAACUAUUGAGGAAAAUAGCAAGGUAAGCUUAUUCCCUGCUGUCUUUUGUCAGUCUGACAACGGGCUCUCAAAACCAGUUUGAAAUGGUAAGAUCUUCCAGCUUUAUGAUACAGCAAGAAUCAAAUGGAAGGAUGGUAGGCAGAAGGAAAUGUAGGGAAAAAGUCUUGCACAGCAUGUGCUGUCAAAAAAGAGAGAGUUAAGUGAGCUAACUGGAUAAGGUGAGGUUUGAUUUGAUUUUGUGAUACAAAAUCUGAGAGGAAAAAGCAUAGAAAGCAGAGAAAUUACUUUAGUGGUUUGAUUAUUGCCUAUCAUCACCCCCAAGCCCCCAAAUUGCUUUGUUCUAUUUUUCACAACAACAAGCCCUACAUAAACACCAGCAUCCUCACUAAUUACAUAUGACAAGGUGCUAUAAGAACUGCUUGGAGGUCAAAUAUAUUCCAUGGUGUCCUAAAAGCUGUGUUCCAUGGUCACUCCCUCCCCAUAAUUGUAGGGUGAGGACAGGGGUAAGUCUUCAGGGUCUUAUUUUUGGUGAGCUACACCAUUUGUACAAUGACAUCUUGCAGUCCUCUGUCAUCUUCCCAAACAGAUUUCUGAGCUUUACCAGUAGUGCUGCUUAAUGGGAAUUUCAGAGACAUUCCUCAAAAGUGUGUAGGUGACAUGCCUUGUCACAG
Passer domesticus (house sparrow) is the source of this 1189-nucleotide long non-coding RNA. RefSeq lists it as uncharacterized. The transcript has 3 exons. The record is from RefSeq and is a predicted model, not a curated record. NCBI's taxonomy places the organism in Eukaryota, Metazoa, Chordata, Aves, Passeriformes, Passeridae.